UCUGUGCCAGUCUUCCUCUAUUUUGUAUGUGGGCCGCCACCACAGCAUGGUGGCUGACAAGUGGUGUAGGUCCUUGCCCAGGAACUGAACCUGGGCUGUUGAAGAGGAGCACACUGAACGGAACCACUAGGCCAUGGGGCCGGCUUCCCCAAAACACCAUUUAUUGAAGAGACUGUACUUUCUCAAUUGUCUUCUUGACACCCUUCUGGAAGAUUAUUUCACCUAAAAUAAGUAAGAUAAUUAUUUUGAAUAAUUUGUCCGGCAACAUAUAGAUCACUUUUUAAAGUCAGUUAAUGGAGAUUUAUCUUUUUCCUUUUGUAGUGUUCUAUUUCCCUGAUUCUCCAUGUUUCUUGUAGCUUUUCUUUGGUGUCUGCCCACUGGGAGAAGCAGCAACCUCUUUCAGUCUUUAUGGUCUGGUUCUAGCAGGAAAUGACCACAAAUAAGUCCUAUUAGAACUUUGGGGAGCCUCUCCAGCAUUUUCUGUGGAUACGCAAGCUCUACUCCUCUCCCUCCAUCCUGGGGGAGCAGUCUCAGGGCUUUGCCAGCACUGGGAGCCCCUUUCCUCUGUCCUUGGCUGCCCCCAGGUGCCCCUCUCACCUUGUGCUCUGAGAGAGGUGAGACAUCAAUCGGUCUCUGGGGCAGCGCCCUCAGAUGCAGCUUCACUCACUCUUUUCUCUGAGGGAGAAAUCCCGGAGUGACCUGGUCUCUCAGUGGCUUGGGGCAGGAGCGACACGGGAAAAGUGAAACUGAUCUUUUUAUCCAGUUCUAACUUUUUUUUUUUUUUUUUUGGUUUUAUGCUCUUCUGAGUUGUUGCAACUUACUACCUGGAUUCCAAAAUUCUCAUAAAGGUAUUUUUGCCCAAAUAUCAUUGUUUCAUCAAUGUUUCUGUGGAGGGACGAGGCCUGGGACUUCCUAUUCUGCCAUCCUGCUGACGUCACUGGAAUAGAAUAGGGUUUAAAGUUGCUAGAAUGGAUCACAAUGAGACCAGAAGUGGAAAAAUAGAAAAUAUAAUGAAUAUACAGAGGAAAUAGAAUGAGAAGAGUUAAACAGAUUUCUAUCACAGUUUCAGGAUGAAAGAAGUGAGAAUGGUUUUAGACAAACUUGAAGAGAGAGUGGUUGAAAUUUUUACAGAAAUGAAGAAAGAACAUGGCUUUAAAGUUCAUGAAUUUAAAAAUGAAAAUCUUAUCUUGGCCCUGGUAAAGAACAUUGAGAAUAAGUUAAAAAAUAGUUCUAAAGCGAAUAGAGAAAAUGCAAGUGACCUUCAAGUGAAUGACAAGUUCAUUGCAAUUGGAUUUCUAAAGAGCAAAAACAGGUGACAGAAAAUACUGGAGAAAUACCUUCCAGGCAUUAAUUGUGAGUACAGAGUUGUAUACUGAGCCUAGAUAUUAUUAAGGAGCAAAGCUGAACUGUCAGCAGUGGGCAAAUCCUUAAAGACAAAGAGACUGGAGGAAUAUCUGACAUAUUGGGACUCGUGUCCUAUACCUUAAACCCACGACAUCCGGCUGCAUCUCUGUGAGGGAUAAGGAGGGCGUUGGUGGACAUAUCCCUUAAAUACAAGAUGUCUUUCACUCUGACGAGGUGAGUCUUCUCCUUUACCAAGUACUGUGAUACAUAGAGAGAAUAUUAAUAUGAAUCAGGCAUUUAGACAUAGAAGCAUGAAGAUAUUUUUGUGUCCACACCCUCUCUAAGAGCAGUACUAAAUGAUAUAAAUAAGUGAGAGUAAUGAACCAAAAUGGAGAAAAUGGGAUGGUACUGAGAACAAAAGAAAUCAGUAGUACAUAGAAGUAUUAAUAAGCAUUUGAUAUGUGCAUAUAUCUAUGCGUGUAGGCAAGUGUAUAUAAUUCUGCCAAUAAUCUGAAUGAGCAAGGAAAUGGAUUCUCCUCUCUAGAGCCUCCAUAAAGGGACUCAGCCAUGUCAGCACAUUGAUUUUAGCCUGGUGAGACCCGUUCGGAAUUCUGACUACAGAUCUGUAAGAUGAUAAAUUGUGUUAAGCUGCUAAAUUUGUAGUAAUUUGUUAUGGCAGCAAUAGGAAAUUAAUACAAACAUAAAAAUACUUUUAAAAGACCAACAAUUGAUAUUUUAUAUUUUUAAAUCAACUAUCUACUAUGAAGACAUAAUUAUGAAGUUUCACUCAACCAAUCACAUAUCCUUGAAAUAUGUAAAACAUAAGUUGAUACAUAAUGGAGGAUUUGAACAAACAUUUAUCAGAAUAAUAUAUAAUAUCUGAUGGGUUAAGCAGGCAAAAAAUUUACGUGAGCAUUGAAUCACAAAUGAAUGUGCAAUCUGAUGUGCACACAGUAUGCAUAAUUUUAUAGAAAUAUUUUCGUGACAUACAUAUUACAACAAAGUGGGAAUGCUCAUUUUUAAAGCACAUAUUGAACAGAAAAUAUUGAUUUCUUACUAGACAACAAAGUAAGUAUCUAUGUUUCUCCAAACUGUUACCAUACAUAUCAUGUUUCCUGAUUAGAGUGGAAUUAAAUAAGCAUCGACAAUAAGAAAACAUUAAGAAGAAACCCCAAUACUUUGGAAACAAAAUCUCAAUAUUUAUGGAUUAUAGAAUGACACAAAGUUGAAUUUACCAAAUAUUAGUGAAAAAGGGUAAAUGAAAUUACAACAUAUCAAAGCUUGUAGGAUGUAAAGAAAAACAGCAAGAGAGGAAGAAAGAGAGGACGUAAAUUACCAAUAUCAAGAAUAAGAGGAGCAUCACUACCAGUCCUACAGACAUUAAAAGGGUACUAAAGAAAUACUACAAACAAAUUUAUGCCAAGAAAUUUUGCAACUUAGAUAAUGAGGAUGCUGAAGGUGGCUCAGCUGAGAAAUACAAAAACUGUUCAGGAAUCUCUUUCCUAAUGAAUCUACGUCUGAGUAUGUCAUGAAGCCAUCCACUUAACUCCUUUCCCAGCAUCUUCAUGGUUAGGUUGCCAUGACUUUUCUCUACAGGGACUGUCAUCACCUCCCACCAGGCUCAUGGCUUCCACUCAUUUCCUUUAAAUAAAUUAUGUUCACUCCUGCCAAUCAGUUCCUUCGAAAAUAUCAUGCACUUAAAGCCACUUUUCCAAUAUACAUAUUUUAAUGGCUUCCCAUUUAAAACAGAAUAAUAUCUAAGCUCCUCGUCCUUGCUUAUCCACCUUUACCUAAUUUGGCUCCAGUCUACCUCCCUCAACUCCAUCUCACUCAACACAUGUCAGGCUCACCGGUGGUUUGAACCCUCCAAGCUCAUUGCUUCAUUGGAUUCAUGGCACUCAUGGUUCCAUCUGUUGGGAAGAUCCUUAGACUAAGCGUCUCAGGAGUGACUUUCCUUGUUGUUAGAUCACAUCUGAAAUGUCACCCUCAGUAUGGUCUUGCCUACCACUCACUCUGUUAUCCACUUAAGCUUUCUCUAUCACAUGACCCUAUCUUAAUGUGUAUGAAUUAAUGAAUCUUAAUGAAUUUUCAUUCAUUUACUCAUACCUUUUCUCCUCCCUUCACACACAUCUGGAAUAUGAUCCUCAUGAAGGCAGGAUCUUUUUCCUUGUUAACUUUUGGAUAUCCAGCUAAUAGAGUAUUAACAGAUGGACAGUACAUAUUUAAAGUGUUCCCCUAAAUCCUUAUCAUUCAUCAUCCUCAUCUUCACAGACCCUGAUGGAGGGAGGAUAAGCAUCUCUCUUGAGCGUGGGGUCAGGGUCCCUAUGAUCCCUUCAUUUCUAUUGGUAAAGGCCUCAGUUCCAGAACAUGAGACCCUAUAUGCCUCUUCUGAUUCCCAUACUGACCACACUCUCAAAUGCUGAUGGAGAAUUUGGGGAUCAGAUGGGAAGCUGACUAACCCAAUGUCACAGAGCUGGUAGGUGGCAGAGUCAACACUCACACAGGAUCCCUCUGGGUCAUUUAUGGAUUAAAUUAAGAGACUUCCUUGCUCAUCUUUUGUGAUGCUUAUUUUUUGGGGUGAUGGGCAAGUAUUUGUAGGAAUUCCUAGGAAAAAGGACAGCAAAGGAUGAGCCAGUGUCCUUCCUCGCCCCCUGAAGUAGGACUGUUCCUUCUGGAAGGUUGGUCCUCUAUCCACCUCUCACUCUACCAUCCCCCUAAGGACUGAUGGGGGCCUUCUGGUCCAUCCACCUGAGUGCCUUGAGAAGAUGCUGCCUCCCUGAGAUGUGAUGGUGUAAAGAGGCAUUAGGAUAUGCCUGGUGAUGAAAGACAGCUAUGAAAAGAGACAGAUGUGGCACAAGGUCCAUGAAGACACUGCCUCCUGAACAGUCCCUUCUCAGACUCUGGGAGCUGGAAUACCCUUUAUCUCAGCAUCCUGGAUGGGCUGGAGAAUCUGAGUCAGUUCCUGGUUCUCCAUGUAACCAUCCCCAGAGACUCCAGAUUCUGAACACCACAGGCUCCUUCAGGAGAUUGGCUCAGCCCACAGAGGGUGUCCAUGGAGGAUCUCUAGGACAAAAUCAGAGGCUGGGUAUGCCAGAUAGCUCCACUUCUUGUGCUGCCAGGUGAUUCCUGUCCAGCCUUCCCAGGUCACCUGCAUCACCAACUCCUGUGCUCAACCCCUCCCACCUGGGACAAUCAUCUGUAUCCAACCAACACAGCCACCUGGGACUGGGGAAGGACUCAUCCAUAAAUGCCCAGAUCCUCUGGACCAGAGAGGAUCCCGGAAGGAAACCCCUUCAGAGAUGGCUUGUCCCAUAAGAAUCACACCCUCCUAGGAAUGAUGCCCUAUCUUGGACACUAGCCUUGACCAAUCAGCCUGGACUCAGACAGCAGAUGAACUCUGCUUCCCACAGGCUCUUAACUCGAGCCUUGGGCUGUGAAGAGCCCACAUCUUCAGGACAGGGUUUUCGAUCAUAAUUGUCUCCUCCCUUCCCGUCAGGAGUUACAGAGACACAGGAGGCUGACAAAUUUGGGGGACAUGGCACUACCUCUGUUGGACAGGGUGCAGGAGCUGAGCUAAAUUGGAAAAUAAACAGGAUGUGGUUGC
This is a non-coding RNA of Equus caballus (horse), 4948 nucleotides long. The record is from RefSeq and is a predicted model, not a curated record. NCBI's taxonomy places the organism in Eukaryota, Metazoa, Chordata, Mammalia, Perissodactyla, Equidae.